AUGCAGCGCGAGGAGGGGAAUGUUCCUGACAAGUCCAACUCCGGAUGGGCGUCGGAGGCCAUGGGCACGAUGGAGAUGACGCACUCGAAGCUCUUCCCCUUCUUCAUGACCGGGCUCAUGCCCCAGGAGGCCGUGCAGUACCUCGACCUGGUGUGCAGAUGCACCAAGAACACCCGGCAUCUGGUCUCCAUGCUCAGAUCGCUCGCGGAGCGCCUGGAGGACGCGAACCCGUUGAUAAUCCACAACAACCCCACACGACUAUAUGAGCACCUACUUGUAAAAUCCCCAUAA
This 291-nucleotide ribosomal RNA is filed under the name Triticum aestivum (bread wheat). RNAcentral describes it as "partial small subunit ribosomal RNA". Lineage: Eukaryota; Viridiplantae; Streptophyta; Magnoliopsida; Poales; Poaceae. The record is from RNAcentral.